CCAUCUGUCACACAUUUUGUCAUUGGGCAGGAGACAUCAAUUCAUGCUACUAACUUCAUUCUACGCAAGGUCACUAUCAAAGCUGCCCCGUACCACCGGAAGCUAUGGGGUCGGGAGAGAGCACGACCCGAAAAGUGUCUUUUGGUGUCGACGACGAGGACAGAGUCCGGAUUCUACGCGGAGUGAAGCUGUCAGAAGAUGUUCUCCAGAGGAUGAGAGGAGUGGCCAACAUUGCCCCAGAACCCACAUUUUUACCAACCUCAAGCCCUCAGAAAGACACAGGUGUUCCUCGCAGCGCCAGCUCAGGGUCAGGACCCCCGCCGGGCCCUCAGCACCAGGGCCAACCCGGUACCCAGUCCAGCACUAGCAAACCAGCCUCCUUUGCCAAGGAAGAACAGAAAAGGUAUGAACGCCAGAAGACACUACUGAAGGAGGAAUGGGUCAAAGUGGCGCAAAGAGAGAGGGAGGCGGCAAGGGAGGAGAUGACUAAAGCCAUGACCCAGGAAAGGCAACAAAAACGCCAGGAAGCCGAGAACGCCAAACAUCUGGCUCAGCAGCUUCAGAAGAAAGAUUUACAGCUGAAAGCAUUGGAUAACUUCUACAAGGAGCAGCUGACACAGCUGGAGAAAAGGAAUUUGGAGAGAUACGAGCAGAGCAAGGACGAAUUCCACCAAGCCGCCUCCAAGACGGAAGAAAGCGUGAGGUCUCGCAAUACCGACCCGGUGUGUCUUGGCCUGCAGGCUCAGAUCUUAUCUUGCUACAGGGACAACAGAGACCAGACCCUAAGGUGCUCCGACCUGGCCAAAGAAUACAUGCGGUGUAUCAAUGCUGCCAAGAAGAUGCAGCGUGCAGCACGCAGACAAACUAAAAGAGAUAUCUGAUGCGAGUAUCAGAGCUCGCUGGAGGAACCGCGGUGGCUGUCACGCACUCUGCCUUCUGCAGUCACAUCAGCCGUCAUCUCCAUCACCUGAACAGAAAGGAACGACGUCUGGAAAUAGAGCCGCUGACAGCGCUCGCUCAGUCCCACCGGUCCCUCGUCGUCGCUCCUAAUCAUAAUGACAUAAGAUGAGUAAAUAAAUAAAUAUAUUGUAUUCACUUAUCAAACUUCCUUUUUUAAAAAAAAAAAAAAAUGCUAUCCAGGGUUGUGGGGACGCUGAUUGUCGCAAUCAUUUUGAAAGCAAUCUGUGUGAUUGCUGUAAACACUCAUAAAAGGAAGAAUUAGGAGGUAACGAGUGUCCGGGGAUCCCUUCCUCCACCAGCACUUUGAUUUCUGUGUCAAAGCAAUUAUUUUUCUCUUUCUUCCUCUCGGUAGUUUAUUCGCUGCAGAGAACCACUGAUCAGCGAGCUCAUUUUGAUGCAUCAACAUUCAUAUGGUGCUUCGCAUUGACCAGUUAUGGUUGAAUGAGGGUUUGUAGAGGGCGGGAUGAGUGGCGGAACCAGACGCACACAUUUACACUUUAGCUGUUUGGGGAUUUACACAAGGAUAUUGCAGGCGUAUUGCAAGGUUUUAUGAAUCAGAAUUUUCUUUGGGCUUCCGUGCAUUUUCUCCUUUCAACGUACGCAAACAUUUAGUGUUUUUAUAAUUGAGACCCCUGAAGCUUCAAACAUAUCCCUAUAUUUGUAUAAGUAGGUAAAGUUUGCCCAGUUGUCAUGGAGAAUUGUAGAAAAUGGCCUUGUCAGCCUUGGAAAUGACAUAUGAUCUCAAAGGCCAUUUUUACGGAGAACAGAUCUGUGUUCAGAGAUGUGUAUUCAUAAAUACUCUCUCAGUUUAGGUUUUGAACCAUCUUCAAAGCACUAUCAUUUUCUUAUUCUAGAAAGCAAAGGAGGUUUUAUUUCCUUUUUUUUUUUGAAUUGUACAUCUACAUAUUUGUGGAGGUUUAUUUAAAAGGAGAUAUUUAUGUACUUUAUUUAAAUCUUGAACGUUACAGCCACAGUGCAAGACGCAAGGGACUCACUGACACAUGGAGGGCCGCAUCUACAGAUCAGCCAUAUUGUUUUGUUGUUUUUUAAGGCAUUUCUUUGGUCUCUAACCACCCUGCUAACAACCCUCUCCAGCGACAUUAUUUUUAAUACACAGAUUGCGAUUCUCAAGUGUCAACUACCUCCGGUACUAGAGCAUUUAGUGAGGUUAAUCUCAUCAAAUUUUAAUGAAUAUUUUUUUCAAGGAGAAAAGUAUUUGCGUUUGUCAUUCUUUCAUCCAUAAACACCUCCUUCUUGUCCCCAGUAAAGAGUGGAUGAGAGGAGAACAGGUGAUAUGUCGGGGCAAAAGAAUGGGAAGAGAAGGGAAGGUGAGGAGAGGAAAUCAGAGGGAUGAGAUGAGAGGACGGAAGAGGCGGGCCGUAUUGAUCACCCUGCUCUACUUUUAACCGAGACAAUCACAGAAAGGAGGACCGAGCGCCGGGUGCGUAGAGAGCGUGACAGAGACGGGAAGAGAGGAAGAUGGACUUAACGCAACACAUUUCUAACCUGCUGGUCAACCACGGAUGAUGAGAGGGAGGAAAAGGUCAUCCGACGUCGGCUUUUACUUUGGCACUAAGAGCGGCACUCGCCGUGUUCCCGUUUUAAAAUUAUGAGAGAGUGGCUUUUCUGUUCGCAUGCUUUGUUUUAAAAACAUUCUCAUAAUGGUAUUUAUCUGCAGUGUCAUCCAGUACAGAGUGCUCUGUUUAUUUUUGCACUGCUACAUUUUACUAGGAAGCUUUUGAAAGAGAAAUGAGUGUGCUUUCAAUUCCCGUCAUUCACAUGUUCAGGGUUUCUAAGACUGUAAAGAUCCAUUCAGGGUCAGUCCUCCAUUUUCUGAAAUUCAGUCAAUGUCCUCUGCUUCCUUUGUUGGGAUGAAACAAGGAAAUCAGGACUGUCCUGGUUUUGGUGACUGAAAAAAACAGAAGUAAUUAGUUUUCUUGUUUUUGAGCUUCAUAUUUUUUCUUUAAACAACACAGGAGUAAAAGCUCACGCUGGAUUUAGGCCAUGUCCUAAAUCCAUCAGACCUGUAGUGUAUGAAUUUAUUAAACGCUUCAUAUCCUGUGA
Cyclopterus lumpus (lumpfish) is the source of this 3024-nucleotide RNA transcript. It is a transcript of the gene named MICOS complex subunit mic25a-like, with no coding region annotated. The record is from RefSeq and is a predicted model, not a curated record. Lineage: Eukaryota; Metazoa; Chordata; Actinopteri; Perciformes; Cyclopteridae. The transcript is spliced from 10 exons.